UAGGGAAUCUUCGGCAAUGGACGAAAGUCUGACCGAGCAACGCCGCGUGAGUGAAGAAGGUUUUCGGAUCGUAAAACUCUGUUGUUAGAGAAGAACAAGGACGUUAGUAACUGAACGUCCCCUGACGGUAUCUAACCAGAAAGCCACGGCUAACUACGUGCCAGCAGCCGCGGUAAUACGUAGGUGGCAAGCGUUGUCCGGAUUUAUUGGGUGUAAAGCGAGCGCAGGCGGUUUCUUAAGUCUGAUGUGAAAGCCCCCGGCUCAACCGGGGAGGGUCAUUGGAAACUGGGAGACUUGAGUGCAGAAGAGGAGAGUGGAAUUCCAUGUGUAGCGGUGAAAUGCGUAGAUAUAUGGAGGAACACCAGUGGCGAAGGCGGCUCUCUGGUCUGUAACUGACGCUGAGGCUCGAAAGCGUGGGGAGCAAACAGG
Molecule: ribosomal RNA, 429 nt
Filed under: Chloroflexota bacterium
Lineage: Bacteria; Bacillati; Chloroflexota
Also listed under: 1 other name
Description: Chloroflexi bacterium partial 16S ribosomal RNA
Rfam family: Bacterial small subunit ribosomal RNA
Source: RNAcentral